GACGAACGCUGGCGGCGUGCUUAACACAUGCCAGUCGAACGGAAAGGCCCUGCUUGCAGGGUACUCGAGUGGCGAACGGGUGAGUAACACGUGGGUGAUCUGCCCUGCACUUCGGGAUAAGCCUGGGAAACUGGGUCUAAUACCGGAUAGGGGCCAUUUUUAGUGUGAUGGUUGGAAAGUUUUUUCGGUGUAGGAUGAGCUCGCGGCCUAUCAGCUUGUUGGUGGGGUAAUGGCCUACCAAGGCGGCGACGGGUAGCCGGCCUGAGAGGGUGGACGGCCACAUUGGGACUGAGAUACGGCCCAGACUCCUACGGGAGGCAGCAGUGGGGAAUAUUGCACAAGGGGCGCAAGCCUGAUGCAGCGACGCCGCGUGGGGGAGGACGGCCUUCGGGUUGUAAACUCCUUUCGCUAGGGACGAAGCUUUUUGUGACGGUACCUAGAGAAGAAGCACCGGCUAACUACGUG
This 465-nucleotide ribosomal RNA is filed under the name uncultured bacterium. RNAcentral describes it as "partial 16S ribosomal RNA". It matches the Rfam family "Bacterial small subunit ribosomal RNA", at positions 28 to 507 of the family's 1533-position model. The record is from RNAcentral.